CGGAGGGUGCAAGCGUUAUCCGGAUUCACUGGGUUUAAAGGGUGUGUAGGCGGGCUGUUAAGUCAGUGGUGAAAUCUCCGGGCUCAACCCGGAAACUGCCAUUGAUACUAAUAGUCUUGAAUUCUGUUGAGGUGGGCGGAAUAUGUCAUGUAGCGGUGAGAUGCUUAGAUAUGACAUAGAACACCGAUUGCGAAGGCAGCUCACUAAGCAGAUAUUGACGCUGAGGCACGAAAGCGUGGGGAUCAAACAGGAUUAGAUACCCUGGUAGUCCACGCCCUAAACGAUGAUUACUCGACAUACGCGAUACACAGUGUGUGUCUGAGCGAAAGCAUUAAGUAAUCCACCUGGGAAGUACGUCCGCAAGGAUG
This 368-nucleotide ribosomal RNA is filed under the name uncultured organism. Its description in RNAcentral is "bacterial SSU rRNA". It matches the Rfam family "Bacterial small subunit ribosomal RNA", at positions 526 to 896 of the family's 1533-position model. The record is from RNAcentral.